Long non-coding RNA from Seriola aureovittata, 737 nucleotides. RefSeq lists it as uncharacterized. Lineage: Eukaryota; Metazoa; Chordata; Actinopteri; Carangiformes; Carangidae. The transcript has 2 exons. The record is from RefSeq and is a predicted model, not a curated record.
CACGGCACUGAGCCAGAAUAAUUCAACAUAACAAUUAAAUAUGAAGGAGCUGUGGCGAAGCGGUCCCUCAGUGUACAGGAGUCAAACAGGCCCAGGCAGCAUGUGGAGCACUGUGACCCUCCACACUGCUGCAACCUGUAGUUCCCAACUCCUCUUGGCACCAUAUAUUCAAGUCAACUCAAUAUUUCAUCAAUAGGUAGAAAUGUUUAUGUCCUAAUGCUGGGACCAAAGUCAUCAGUCCUUGUGUUUUGGACAGACAGACAGAGGAAUCAAUCAUGCUGUGAAAUCACUCAGAGGUAGAGAUAUCACACGGUUGGUAAAGCGUGGAAUGAACGGACAGACGAGUGGAAUCGAUCCCCACUCACUGACCAAGUGCGUCCUGAGGGAUGUCCUGAAAAAUGAGGGCUGGUGGACGGGAUGUAGAGACACCUGUGACAGAAUCUACAUUGUGAAAUGGUAUAAAUGCUGUGCACAGGCCCAUCAGCGAACUAAUUUCAUCUAUAGAGAUAUGUUGUAGCAUUCAAGUAUUAUAUCAUGUAUCAUGAGCUUAUUGUAUGCUUUGCUUGGAAAAUUGUGACCUACAGGAACAAGCUUUUAUUGUGAAAUGAAAUCUCAUUCUACCCCUUAUUGUUUAAUGACUUUUACUUAACUAAUUUCUCUACGCUUUAUUUAUUUUAUUGAGAAAUGUAUAUAAUUUAUACUGCAAUAUUAUUAUAAUAAAUUGCUUAUAUCAUUUA